GACGAACGCUGGCGGCGUGCUUAACACAUGCAAGUCGAACGCUGAAGACCUGGCUUUUGUUGGGUUGGAUGAGUGGCGAACGGGUGAGUAACACGUGAGUAACCUGCCCUCUUCUUUGGGAUAACGCCCGGAAACGGGUGCUAAUACUGGAUAUUCACUGAUCUUCGCAUGGGGGUUGGUGGAAAGGUUUGUUCUGGUGGGGGAUGGGCUCGCGGCCUAUCAGCUUGUUGGUGGGGUGAUGGCCUACCAAGGCUUUGACGGGUAGCCGGCCUGAGAGGGUGACCGGUCACGUUGGGACUGGGAUACGGGCCAGACGCCUACGGGAGGCAGCAGUGGGGAGUAUUGCACAAUGGGCGAAAGCCUGAUGCAGCGACGCCGCGUGAGGGAUGGAGGCCUGCGGGUUGUAAACCUCUUUCGCUCAUGGUCAAGCGGCAACUGUGGGUUGUGGUGAGGGUAGUGGGUAAAGAAGCGCCGGCUAACUACGUG
This 486-nucleotide ribosomal RNA is filed under the name uncultured bacterium. RNAcentral describes it as "partial 16S ribosomal RNA". It matches the Rfam family "Bacterial small subunit ribosomal RNA", at positions 28 to 507 of the family's 1533-position model. The record is from RNAcentral.